AUUGAACGCUGGCGGCAUGCCUUACACAUGCAAGUCGAACGGCAGCACGGGAGCAAUCCUGGUGGCGAGUGGCGAACGGGUGAGUAAUAUAUCGGAACGUGCCCAGUCGUGGGGAUAACGUAGCGAAAGCUACGCUAAUACCGCAUACGAUCUAUGGAUGAAAGCGGGGGAUCGCAAGACCUCGCGCGAUUGGAGCGGCCGAUAUCAGAUUAGGUAGUUGGUGAGGUAAAGGCUCACCAAGCCGACGAUCUGUAGCUGGUCUGAGAGGACGACCAGCCACACUGGGACUGAGAUACGGCCCAGACUCCUACGGGAGGCAGCAGUGGGGAAUUUUGGACAAUGGCGCAAGCCUGAUCCAGCAACUGCCGCGUGCAGGAUGAAGG
This 383-nucleotide ribosomal RNA is filed under the name uncultured bacterium. RNAcentral's name for it is "bacterial SSU rRNA". It matches the Rfam family "Bacterial small subunit ribosomal RNA", at positions 30 to 414 of the family's 1533-position model. The record is from RNAcentral.